AAAUGAACUUCGACACUGAAAUUAUUAGUUAGGAUGUGACAGGCUGCGAGAGAUUUGAACGAAUUUACAUUGUGAUUUCGGAGAGAGGAGACAGAACGAAAUCUUUCCGAAGAUGUCACUCAUUACUGCAGCCGGUCCAUAUCCAGAUUACUCAUCAGAAGGCCCACUGAAUUAUGAAUUUCUGGGAUAAAUCGGCAGAAUCGUUGUAUAGAAACCAUCAAAAGCACUGAAGUAAUUCUUCAUGAAGCCAACAGUACACUUGGGAAAAACAUAUCUGUCUCCAACGCUCCUAUGCUUCCAGCAACUCCAUGAUCUUACACCUCUGCCAACUCCUGCCAAGCUUUCAGAAGGAUGAAGCAGCCUUCAUAAUUAGAUUUUUCCUGUCCUGAGCAACAUUGUAAGAGAUUCUGUUAGUGAGGAUAGCAGACUGAUAUACUUACCACUUCUUGUUGCUGCAUCAUGACUAUUUCUGUUGCAGGCAGAUGAGUGUCACGGGAAGUUUGAGUAAAGAUUUCCCUUGGCUACAUUAUGGAGAAACCUCAGCAUAUGUUUCAAUGGGCUUUCGACAAGAAUGUAAUUCAGAAAAUUCCGGGCAGGUGCUUCCAUCUUCUUUUAUAGAUCUUCUUCCCUCUCGCACAACUGCUUGGAAAUCAAGGCUCAUUACAAUAUUCUCAGAACAGUGCAACAAUUAUGAAUGGAUGUCCUCAGAAAAAGAUACCUGUUAUACUUUCCUUUCUCCUACAUUUUACGAUAUUUUAUCCAUCUUAUUACUUUUUCCAGACUGCUUUGUCACUAGUUUCUUUAUGACAUUUGAUGGUAUUCUGCCUCUGUACUUGACACUAAUGUUUUGUAAAGCUUCAGGAAUUUUGGCCAUUUCACCUCAUAGUGUUUCUGGGAUGCCGGUUAUGUUUAGCCAUUGGGAUUUUGAAGCAGAGUUCAUUCAUUCAUUUUAUUUAUAUAAAGAGCCAUGAAUAAGCACAUCAGGACUAAUUGGAUAACCCCUUUGAAGAGCUUGCAUUGGCCUGAUGAGAUAAAUGGAUCACUUCUUUGCUAUCCUAUGUUGCUAUAUGGUAAUAGUUCAAAUGCUGAUAAGUUAGUUUUUCAUACUGGUAAAGCCUAUGGAGAAGUAAAAAGAAAUUUUCUACUUUAUUUUGGCAUUCAAUAAAUACUCACAUGUUUGGUGGGUUUCUGGAUGCUCUGACUAUUAAGAGAGGCCAAUUUUAUAAAAUUGAUGCCCACACAGUUUAAUAGCCUAAUCUUUGAAUAGAAAGCUUUACAACCAAUUUUCUCACCAGGGUUAGCAAUUAAAGCAAGAUCAAACAUUGAUGUGGGCAUGUGCAGUACAUUCGUUAUUUUGUAUCAUAUGAAAAAAAGUUGAGCAAAGUGAGUGUGAUCAAGGCCGUGCCAUGCUUAUGUGAUGUGAAGUAAAGUAGAUUAUUUGUUUAUCCCACAUCUGGUUCAGAUCUCAAGGAGAUACUUUCAUACUUUGGGUUACACUAUCAUAGAGGUAAAUGUUAUGUGGUUUGCACAUGACCAGUUUAAAAAUAAUGCAGAGAUGUCUUUUUCCCCACAGAGUGUUGAGAGUGCUAGAAGCUCUUUUUCUCAAAAGGCAGUGGGAGCUGAGUGUUUGUUUUUGAGGAAGAGGUAGAUAAAAUCAUAAGAAGCAACAGGAUGAAAGUCUAUGAAGAAUAGCCAGGAACGCAGAGUAAUCAGAUCAGCCAUGGCGUUAAGGGUUGGAGGAGCAGACUCAAAUGCAUGAAGGACCUACUCAAGCUCCCAAUUGAAUGAUUGUUUGUGUAUACCAAACUGUAUGGCCUCAGACCACUUAUGGAUCUUGUUCAUGCUACUGCACCCGAAAAUAUGAAUAAAACAAAAAUCUAACCUUGAUACCUGGGCUCCCCAGAUUCUUAAACCUAAAUAAAAUGUAAGUUUUCCCAUCCUUGGUCUGAAAGAAAUUCUCAGAAGUGUUGCGUUCCUCCAAAUUCAAUUAUUGUCCUUGCUUUUAUUUCUUAAUCGUAUAGUAGUUCUGCACACCUCUCACCUUUACAAGUUACUUGAAUAAAUGAUUCAGAAGAAAC
Stegostoma tigrinum is the source of this 2078-nucleotide long non-coding RNA. RefSeq lists it as uncharacterized. NCBI's taxonomy places the organism in Eukaryota, Metazoa, Chordata, Chondrichthyes, Orectolobiformes, Stegostomatidae. The record is from RefSeq and is a predicted model, not a curated record. The transcript has 3 exons.